This 77-nucleotide transfer RNA is filed under the name Phaeodactylibacter luteus. RNAcentral describes it as "tRNA-Met". It matches the Rfam family "tRNA". From Rfam's summary of the family: Transfer RNA (tRNA) molecules are approximately 80 nucleotides in length. Their secondary structure includes four short double-helical elements and three loops (D, anti-codon, and T loops). Lineage: Bacteria; Pseudomonadati; Bacteroidota; Saprospiria; Saprospirales; Haliscomenobacteraceae. The record is from RNAcentral.
GGCGUGGUAGCUCAGCUGGUUAGAGCGCGUGAUUCAUAAUCCCGAGGUCGGGAGUUCAAGUCUCCCCCACGCUACGA